Long non-coding RNA from Lytechinus variegatus (green sea urchin), 1872 nucleotides. RefSeq lists it as uncharacterized. The record is from RefSeq and is a predicted model, not a curated record. The transcript is spliced from 2 exons. NCBI's taxonomy places the organism in Eukaryota, Metazoa, Echinodermata, Echinoidea, Temnopleuroida, Toxopneustidae.
UAUAUAUGGGUCAUUCCACGGGGUUGGGGCAACAGCACUUUUUUGUGUUCCUUAUGAAUUGUUAGCUUUAUCCUGAAAAUGUGUUUGGUGUUUUGAUGUUGCAAUGUGGUUUUGUUGGAAGGCAGUUAUGUAAGCAAUUACUUGAUGCAGAAAUAAAAAUGUUGAACUGCAAGUAUUAUUGAUGGUGAGACUUUAAAUGAUGAUGUCCAGACUCUUUUUUGGGGUACCAAGUGUGACAUCCAAAAUGGUCAUUUUCAGUUGAAGAUAUCUAAUCAAAAGAUAAACUUAGUCAAAUUCAAAUGGCCAUGAUUGAUAAAGCAACAUUUGUUUAAUAACAAAACAGUAAUGGGAUAGCAAAUGAAAAGAGACUUCAUAUCAUAAAUCAUUUCUACAACUCGGCAUACCACCGUUACAUGCGAUGUCCGCGUUUAUUUUUUUCUGUAACGGCGGUAAUGUGGUAAAUAUCUAAAAAUCAGAAAUCAUUUUUUCCAAAGUUAUGUGUCAGAAAUAAAGGGCAGGCAGUAAGCAACUGUUCAUCAAAAGAUUAGCUUUGAAAACCUAUUGUAAUGUCAUCUAAAUUAAUCGAGGGUCGCCGAUGUUUUGGGCGAUGUCCGGGCCAAAUUUGUAACGGUGGAUCACAUUUCAUCGCGUAUGUAAGAAGGAGACACCGGAGAAGAGACCGUCGUUGUAUCAGACGGACGGGAUGUUAGCCGAAAUCCACAUGCACAUGAACAGCUAUGAUAGCGGGCGUUUUGAAGCAUUGCAAUGGGGAAUAUUCCUGCAAUGUCUCUGUAACGGUGGAAUGGAUAUCCACGAUGUUUUCCCUUUCACAGCGACGUAGCCUCUGUUGAAGGUAAAAAUGUAUAUCUUCAGUACAUGAAGUGUCAAUCCGUUGACCUGUACUCCUGGCCUGAUGGCGAAGCACAAUUCUACCUCUAUCUAUUUUGUGACAUUGACAGAGUCCUCUUCCAAACUCCCAACUGACACAGUUGUCAUUGGGUCACCGAUCUUCUUGAAGUUCAUAAACUUGUAACCUGAAUGCAGAGAGAAAUAUUGCAAGUUAUUUCUUAUUGUCAGGUUUAGUGUACAGUGUAAUAAUUUUUUUUUUUGCAUUUGCCAGUAAGAAGUUUACCAUAGAGUUUUUAACCAAAGGAAAAGAUUGUAGUUUGCAGUGUUAUUCUUGAACAUUUAUUAGAAUAGCUUAGUAGAAAUAGUACAUUUUACUUUCUUGUUCACAACUCUAUGUUCAAACAACAGGUGUAAGUUUUUUAUAUUCAAUUUGUCCACUAAGUACUUUACAAUUGUCCUUUUGGCAUGCUGGAACUUAAUGUUUUAUCCAAUGCAUUUAUUCCAGCGAUGACAUGAUUAUAUUUUACUUAAUAUUAUUUAGAACUACAUUACCAUGUAACUGAGGUAAAAUAAGUUAGAGUAAACAAAUUGAACAAGUUAUAUGUGUAAGGUACAUGUAUUAAUGCAUUGUCCAUGAAUUGCAUGCCAACUUUGUCUUGUUUUGUCUUGAAAAACCAUACAUGUAGCUUAGAGGAACUAAACUAGUACCUUUUCCCUACAUCUUUUUCACCCGAGUAUUGUAUCAAAGGUAUCAAAAUUAUAAUCGUGUACUGUACAUGUAUGAAUAAAAAAAAACAUUUUACCUGUUCAUUGAUGCAUUUUAGAAGCUUGCCUGUAGAUGUUGUAUUUCUACACUUGAGUAAGAUGAGUUAACUCGCAUUAGUGUGUUGAUACUAAAAGAAUGGCAAGUACAUGUAAUACUAUUCAAUAUGAUCAUUACAAGGACAUGAUGUCCAUGUAACGGAGGUAUGUACAUUUGAGAGUAAUAUCGUGAAGGAGAUAUUUUAAAGUAAUAAAGAUUUG